Molecule: ribosomal RNA, 253 nt
Filed under: uncultured bacterium
Lineage: Bacteria
Description: partial 16S ribosomal RNA
Rfam family: Bacterial small subunit ribosomal RNA
Source: RNAcentral
UACGAAGGGGGCUAGCGUUGCUCGGAAUCACUGGGCGUAAAGGGUGCGUAGGCGGGUCUUUAAGUCAGGGGUGAAAUCCUGGAGCUCAACUCCAGAACUGCCUUUGAUACUGAAGAUCUUGAGUUCGGGAGAGGUGAGUGGAACUGCGAGUGUAGAGGUGAAAUUCGUAGAUAUUGGGAAGAACACCGGUAGCGAAGGCGGCGCUCUGGACCGAGACUGACGCUGAGGCGCGAAAGCGUGGGGAGCAAACAGG